Molecule: ribosomal RNA, 253 nt
Filed under: uncultured bacterium
Lineage: Bacteria
Description: partial 16S ribosomal RNA
Rfam family: Bacterial small subunit ribosomal RNA
Source: RNAcentral
UACGGGGGGGGGAAGCGUUGUUCGGAAUUACUGGGCGUAAAGGGCUCGUAGGCGGCCAACUAAGUCAGACGUGAAAUCCCUCAGCUUAACUGGGGAACUGCGUCUGAUACUGGAUGGCUUGGAUUCGGGAGAGGAAUGCGGAAUUCCAGGUGUAGCGGUGAAAUGCGUAGAUAUCUGGAGGAACACCGGUGGCGAAGGCGGCAUUCUGGACCGAUAUUGACGCUGAGGAGCGAAAGCCAGGGGAGCAAACGGG